Molecule: ribosomal RNA, 201 nt
Filed under: Salmonella enterica subsp. enterica serovar Tennessee
Lineage: Bacteria; Pseudomonadati; Pseudomonadota; Gammaproteobacteria; Enterobacterales; Enterobacteriaceae
Also listed under: 1 other name
Description: partial 23S ribosomal RNA
Rfam family: Bacterial large subunit ribosomal RNA
Source: RNAcentral
GUGACUGCGUACCUUUUGUAUAAUGGGUCAGCGACUUAUAUUCUGUAGCAAGGUUAACCGCAUAGGGGAGCCGGAGGGAAACCGAGUCUUAAUUGGGCGUUAAGUUGCAGGGUAUAGACCCGAAACCCGGUGAUCUAGCCAUGGGCAGGUUGAAGGUUGGGUAACACUAACUGGAGGACCGAACCGACUAAUGUUGAAAAA